Long non-coding RNA from Cyprinus carpio carpio, 3820 nucleotides. Lineage: Eukaryota; Metazoa; Chordata; Actinopteri; Cypriniformes; Cyprinidae. The record is from Ensembl.
AUGUGGACAGUCACUUUUAUGUUUGCUCUUGUUCAGCAGCAGCUGUGUGUCUGUCAGUUCAGACUUAUUCGCUGGCUGAGCAUACAUCAAUUACACUAUUUGGAGCAUUUAAACAGGUGCGCCGCUAGCCUCUUUAGGAGAGUUUGCAUGCACCUGUUUCAGCGUCCGCAUCCGUCUGUUGAUUCACAACAUGCUGUAUUGUUUGCAACUUUAAUAACCACAUAAUGUUAGCGGAAAACAAGCAGGCUAUCGAGAAAUUAAUAAAUAAAGAGGCUACGCCUGCUUAAGUCAUACAAGAAUGGCAUAUUAGAUUAUAAAGAGAGGUUAUUAAGGCUCCGAGUCCAAAACACGAAAGACUUUUUCGCUAAAAAGCAACAGUGGAGUAUGAAUUGAAGACACUAGCGACUCGAGCUCAUCUUCAGACUUGACCCAGCUGGCAAAAUAGCACAAGACAUCACAGCCUGCAGGCUACAGUAAAUAUCGCCUUUCUUGUUCUCUCUAUAAGACCUGUUUUUCCGGUAAAUAGGGGGAACGGGUAAUUCAAUACACUUCCCAGGCAAUUUGCUUUCUCGAGAACAGGUGACAUGUUAUAUUGGAGUUGUGGCCCAGGAAUAAAUGCUCAAAUUAAUAAGUAAUGCUGAUGUUCUGAUAAUAUUUUUCCCCUGACUCCUCGGUGGUAAGUAGCUUCUUGUGGGUUAGAUGGUAACGUUAAACCGCAGAUGAAGUGCUCUGUAGCGUGUGGCGUUUCGAGAUUGUCAACAUGUUUUCUGUCAAUCAUGUAUAAAAAAGAAAAAAAAUUAUCUAAUAUAAUAAUAAUAAAAAUAAACAACUAAAAUAAAUAAAAAAAUAUACUAAUUAACCUAUGUGUGUGUGUGUGUGUGUAUAUAUAUAUAUAUAUAUAUAUAUAUAUAUAAAAGGAACAUAUUUCUAAAAUUUAUAAUAAAUACAUAUUUAUAACAUAAUAUAACAUAAUUUCUGAGGUAUGUAUAGAAAUAUAUAAUUAUAUCAUCAAACUUAAUUACAUUGCAUUACAUUUUAUAUAUAUAUAUAUAUAUAUAUAUAUAUAUAUAUAUAUAUAUAUAUAUAUAUAUAUAUAUAUAUAUAUAUAUAUAUAUAUAUAUAUAUAUAUAUAUAUGUAUAUAUAUAUAUACAUGUUUAUAUUUAAUAUAAUGUAAUAUAUAAAUUUAAUUAGAAUUUUUCCGAAAUUAUAUAUAUUCAUAAGUUUUUAGAAAUGUUCUAUAUGUAUAUGUAUAUUAUUAUUAUUAUUAUUAUUAUUAUUACUUAAUAUAUAGAAUAUUGUAAAAUACAUAUUUUAAAUAUAUUACACAGUUGUAUAAUGUCAUUCUGCAGGCCAUAUUUUAAUCUGCAAAUAUCUGUCAAUAAUAUAUAAUUAUAAAAAUCUAAAAAAAGUUACAAUUUGUUAAAUAAUAAUAAAAAAGUGUCAAAUUUAAAUCACACACACACACACACACUGACACAUUAAAAUUGUACAUAUAAUACAUUUGUUUAAAGUAAUUCCACAGGCGAAAUAUGAUCCGCAAGCAUCUGACAAAAGCAAACAGUAAAACAGCGGGCAGGCUCUGAGUGAAUGUGUCAGACACUUUGUGUCUCUGUGAGAUCAGAGAGCAGGUUGAUGUGAGAGUUGGCAGAGUAACAUGAAGCUUGAUCUGAAAGACAAAGAUCAUAGCUGUCCUUCAAAACUGCAACAUCCGCCGCGCGCAGGGGGACGAGAUGCUCAUCUGAGCGCCGCAGCUCCCACAGAUGAUGAGAGGCCAUUGUAAACAUAAUUAUUGCUGCUAAUGAUAACGGCAGACAGAUGAUGAGUUUUUUCUCAGCUCAUUUACCAUUGGCAGCUAUGCCAGGUGCACGGAGGGAUUCUCAUUCUGUAGUGCCGAGUGCUGUUUUUCUUGCAAAAUGUGCAAUAAAAUUUGCAGAGCCGAACACUAAAUAAACCACCGCACUUUUGGAGUUGGAAAGGUGCAUGAAAAGUGGGCUUUGUUGAGCAAACAGAAAAUGUGUGGAAUUAUGUGUAAACACAUUUAACAACUAUGAUUAUAGAGAGAAAAAAGCCCAUUUCAGACUUUAACGCCAUAGCCUUAUUCUCUACUGCUUUCACUGACAACAUUAAAUCAAAAUGGGCCAUUUUGCGUCUUAAUACAUGUUCUUAUUGUGUAUUACUCAUAGGUGCACAGUGUUCCAAAUAAAUAAAUAAAUAAAAAUAAAAUAAAAAAAUUGCCUUCCUUAUACUUUAGCAAAAUGUCACUAGUCUUUAAUAGAAUUUAACAGUACCUAUCCACUUUUGGCAGCAAUCAAUCUUGGUAUUUUUCUCAUUCAUUUUCUCCACAAGGAUUUCAGGAAAAAAAAGCUCUGAGAUGUAUCAUUUAAUUAUUCAGAUAAACCAUUAUUUGCAGUAAAAAAAAAAAAAGAAAGAAAGAAAAAGGUAUAAGGACUGUGUUCUUUUAUUAUGCCAUGACGCACUGCAAAUGACCACUGAAUUAAAUGGAAUGGUGUAAAACUAUUGUUUUAUAAUCAUGGGUUAUACAUCUAAAACAUUAAAGUGAAUAAUUUAUAAUAAAAAAAAAUAUUUUAUAAAAAUAUUUUAUACAAAAAAAAAUUAAGAAUAUAAUUUCUUUAAGGACACUUCAGUUUGGGGCUAGUAAGAUUUUUUUCUUAUGCUCAUCAAGGCAGAAGAUUAUAAAUACAGUUCUGUCAUGACAACUCUCUGCGAGAUUGGCAUGGUAAUGUACAUGACAAUGUUAAUGUAUUUGGUCUUGGUGGAAUAGAUCUGCUACAUUGCUGCAGCUGCUGCGGCAGAGCAAGUAUCAAGACUUGCUACUGCCAAUACAUCCACAACAUGCUGCUGUGAGCGUGUAGGAAAUACUGCUGCUGCACAUAUGAAUAACCCCAUAGCAUACAUGAAUCACCUUGUAGCAGAUCUAUACAGGUGGAGCUGGGGAUGGUGGAGGGUUUCUGAAGUGCGCUGCAGAACUGCUACAGCAAACAAAGCCAGGUAUUUGAAUUUUGAGCAGUGAGCUCAUUGGCUACUGAUACAGGAGAAAACCAAUCAGCUGUGCAAUGUGAUGAUGUCAUUAGGUCAGAUUGAGUUAGAACUAACAGACUGCGCCAUCUAGAGUUUCAUGCCAGAACUCUGUAUUAAAACAAUAAUAUUGUGAAAUAUUUUACAAUUUAAAAUAAUUUACCUAUGUCAACAUUUUAAAAUGUAAUUUAUUGCUGUGAUCAAAGCUGAAUUUUCAGCAUCAUUACUCCAGUCCUCAGUGACACAUGAUCCUUCAGAAAUCAUUCUAAUAUGCUGAUAAUGAUAAUUCUAAUAUCUAAUAAUUGCUUAUAUUUUUGUGGAAACCAAGAUACUUUUUUUCAGGAUUCUUUAAAUGAACAGAAUUAGUUUUUUCAAUUUUAAUGCAUUCUUGCUGAAUAAAAGUAUUAUUUUUUUUUUCAAUUAAAAAUAAAUAAAUAUAUAUAUAAAAAAGUAUAUCUAUUUUUAAACAGUAGUGUAUAACCAGUGACUAUAACAUAUUCUUUAAUCCUAUUUUACAAAAAUACGUCAGAUUACAGAAGUCAAAUAGAUUGCAAAAGGCAUUUCAUGAUGACUUCAAAGUUACCAGACUGCUGAAACAGAAUCUGUGAUAUGAGAAGCACAAUCUUUCUGACUGUAAUACCGUAUACCCAAGGCGCCGUGUUAUUUGUUGUGAGGGCUGCGCUCUCUUGCACACUUUAAUAUUGCGUUAUUAUUUCAUCUCAGCCUUGAGAUAAAGAAAAAAAUUCUCGAUUUUAUUUUAUGGGAUUAACGGCGCACUUUCAG